UACAGAGGGUGCGAGCGUUAAUCGGAAUUACUGGGCGUAAAGCGCACGUAGGUGGCGACGUAAGUCGGGUGUGAAAGCCCCGGGCUCAACCUGGGAAUUGCAUUCGAGACUGCAUUGCUGGAGUACGGAAGAGGAAGGCGGAAUUCCCGGUGUAGCGGUGAAAUGCGUAGAUAUCGGGAGGAACAUCAGUGGCGAAGGCGACUACCUGGCCCAUUCUUGACGCUGAGGCGCGAAAGCUAGGGGAGCGAACGGG
RNAcentral lists this ribosomal RNA (253 nucleotides) under uncultured bacterium. RNAcentral's name for it is "partial 16S ribosomal RNA". It matches the Rfam family "Bacterial small subunit ribosomal RNA", at positions 524 to 776 of the family's 1533-position model. The record is from RNAcentral.